GUGUCUGGUGGGUAGUUUGACUGGGGCGGUCUCCUCCUAAAGAGUAACGGAGGAGCACGAAGGUUGGCUAAGCAUGGUCGGACAUCAUGCGGUUAGUGCAAAGGCAUAAGCCAGCUUGACUGCGAGAGUGACGGCUCGAGCAGGUACGAAAGUAGGUCUUAGUGAUCCGGUGGUUCUGAAUGGAAGGGCCAUCGCUCAACGGAUAAAAGGUACUCCGGGGAUAACAGGCUGAUACCGCCCAAGAGUUCAUAUCGACGGCGGUGUUUGGCACCUCGAUGUCGGCUCAUCACAUCCUGGGGCUGAAGUAGGUCCCAAGGGUAUGGCUGUUCGCCAUUUAAAGUGGUACGCGAGCUGGGUUUAGAACGUCGUGAGACAGUUCGGUCCCUAUCUGCCGUGGGCGUUGGAAGAUUGAGAGGGGUUGCUCCUAGUACGAGAGGACCGGAGUGAACGCACCACUGGUGUUCGGGUUGUCAUGCCAAUGGCAUUGCCCGGUAGCUAAGUGCGGAAGAGAUAACCGCUGAAAGCAUCUAAGCGGGAAACUUGCCU
Molecule: ribosomal RNA, 546 nt
Filed under: Proteus mirabilis
Lineage: Bacteria; Pseudomonadati; Pseudomonadota; Gammaproteobacteria; Enterobacterales; Morganellaceae
Description: partial 23S ribosomal RNA
Rfam family: Bacterial large subunit ribosomal RNA
Source: RNAcentral